Molecule: ribosomal RNA, 886 nt
Filed under: Pseudomonas fluorescens
Lineage: Bacteria; Pseudomonadati; Pseudomonadota; Gammaproteobacteria; Pseudomonadales; Pseudomonadaceae
Description: bacterial SSU rRNA
Rfam family: Bacterial small subunit ribosomal RNA
Source: RNAcentral
CGCUAACUGCACUCUAGCGGUCAGAAACUUGCUUCUCUUGAAGCGGCGGACGGGUGAAUAAUGCCUACGAAUCUGCCUGGUAGUGGGGGAUAACGUUCCGAAACCGACGCUAAUACCGCAUACGUCCUACGGGAGAAAGCAGGGGACCUUCGGGCCUUGCGCUAUCAGAUGAGCCUAGGUCGGAUUAGCUAGGUGGUGAGGUAAUGGCUCACCAAGGCGACGAUCCGUAACUGGUCUGAUAGGAUGAUCAGUCACGCUGGAACUGAGACACGGUCCAGACUCCUACAGGAGGCACCAGUGGGGAAUAUUGGACGAUGGGCGAAAGCCUGAUCCAGCCAUGCCGCGUGUGUGAAGAAGGUCUUCGGAUUGUAAAGCACUUUAAGUUGGGAGGAAGGGCAGUUACCUAAUACGUGAUUGUUUUGACGUUACCGACAGAAUAAUCACCGGCUAACUCUGUGCCAGCAACCGCGGUAAUACAGAGGGUGCGAGCGUUAAUCGGAAUUACUGGGCGUAAAGCGCGCGUAGGUGGUUUGUUAAGUUGGAUGUGAAAUCCCCGGGCUCAACCUGGGAACUGCAUUCGAAACUGACUGACUACAGUAUGGUAGAGGGUGGUGGAAUUUCCUGUGUAGCGGUGAAAUGCGGAAAUAUAUGAAGGAGCACAAGUGGCAAAAGCGAGCACCUGGACUGAUACUGACACUGAGGUGCGAAAGCGUGGGGAGCAAACUGGAUUAGAUACCGUGGAAGUCCACGCCGUAAACGAUGUCGACUAGGACGUUGGGAGCCGUGAGCUCUUAGUGGCGCAUCUAACGCAUUGAGUUGACGGCCUGCGGAGAACGGGCCGCAAGGCUAGAAAUCGAAUGAAUUGACUGGGGCCGGCACAAGCGGA